Molecule: long non-coding RNA, 364 nt
Organism: Camellia sinensis
Lineage: Eukaryota; Viridiplantae; Streptophyta; Magnoliopsida; Ericales; Theaceae
Source: RefSeq, a predicted model, not a curated record
UAUAUCCUAUAUGUGCAGAAACUUCAUCUUCUUGCUGAAAAUCUGUAGAUUUAAGAGAGAAAAUCAAACACUUUCAUCAUUGUUCUUCAAGUUUCAAGUCUAGAUCUCGGUUCCGGUUGAUUUUACCAAACUUCGUAUACAUUUAGGUAAGGAGAAUGCUUAGUGGAUAACCAAAGACCUAUUUUUGUGGUGUCUCGUGGCCUGUGAUGGAUUUUAAACCUAUAGUUUUAUAUAAGUCAUAUAUUACCUCUUUUGUUGGCAUAGGGCCAAGUUAUUGUUGUAACUUAACUUUCCUUUAUGACUUGUAUGACUUAUAUAGCAACGCUCUAGUUAAAUGUAAUCACCUAGUAUUUGCGAUGAUUUA